RNAcentral lists this ribosomal RNA (725 nucleotides) under Vibrio sp. RC586. RNAcentral describes it as "bacterial LSU rRNA". It matches the Rfam family "Bacterial large subunit ribosomal RNA", at positions 2206 to 2925 of the family's 2925-position model. Lineage: Bacteria; Pseudomonadati; Pseudomonadota; Gammaproteobacteria; Vibrionales; Vibrionaceae. The record is from RNAcentral.
UUGUAUGUUUGAUGUUCUAACUUAGACCCGUUAUCCGGGUUGAGGACAGUGCCUGGUGGGUAGUUUGACUGGGGCGGUCUCCUCCCAAAGAGUAACGGAGGAGCACGAAGGUGGGCUAAUCACGGUUGGACAUCGUGAGGUUAGUGCAAUGGCAUAAGCCCGCUUAACUGCGAGAAUGACGGUUCGAGCAGGUGCGAAAGCAGGUCAUAGUGAUCCGGUGGUUCUGUAUGGAAGGGCCAUCGCUCAACGGAUAAAAGGUACUCCGGGGAUAACAGGCUGAUACCGCCCAAGAGUUCAUAUCGACGGCGGUGUUUGGCACCUCGAUGUCGGCUCAUCACAUCCUGGGGCUGAAGUCGGUCCCAAGGGUAUGGCUGUUCGCCAUUUAAAGUGGUACGCGAGCUGGGUUUAGAACGUCGUGAGACAGUUCGGUCCCUAUCUGCCGUGGGCGUUGGAAGAUUGAAGGGGGCUGCUCCUAGUACGAGAGGACCGGAGUGGACGAACCUCUGGUGUUCGGGUUGUGUCGCCAGACGCAUUGCCCGGUAGCUAAGUUCGGAAUCGAUAACCGCUGAAAGCAUCUAAGCGGGAAGCGAGCCCUGAGAUGAGUCUUCCCUGAUACUUUAAGUAUCCUAAAGGGUUGUUCGAGACUAGAACGUUGAUAGGCAGGGUGUGUAAGCGUUGUGAGGCGUUGAGCUAACCUGUACUAAUUGCCCGUGAGGCUUAACCAU